GAUGAACGCUAGCUACAGGCUUAACACAUGCAAGUCGAGGGGCAGCAUGAUUGAAGCUUGCUUCAAUUGAUGGCGACCGGCGCACGGGUGAGUAACACGUAUCCAACCUUCCGUACACUCAGGGAUAGCCUUUCGAAAGAAAGAUUAAUACCUGAUGGUAUCUUAAGCACACAUGUAAUUAAGAUUAAAGAUUUAUCGGUGUACGAUGGGGAUGCGUUCCAUUAGGUAGUAGGCGGGGUAACGGCCCACCUAGCCUGCGAUGGAUAGGGGUUCUGAGAGGAAGGUCCCCCACAUUGGAACUGAGACACGGUCCAAACUCCUACGGGAGGCAGCAGUGAGGAAUAUUGGUCAAUGGGCGAGAGCCUGAACCAGCCAAGUAGCGUGAAGGAUGAAGGUCCUACGGAUUGUAAACUGCUUUUAUAAGGGAAUAAAGUGAGUCUCGUGAGACUUUUUGCAUGUACCUUAUGAAUAAGGACCGGCUAAUUCCGUGCCAGCAGCCG
This 500-nucleotide ribosomal RNA is filed under the name uncultured bacterium. RNAcentral's name for it is "bacterial SSU rRNA". It matches the Rfam family "Bacterial small subunit ribosomal RNA", at positions 28 to 517 of the family's 1533-position model. The record is from RNAcentral.